Long non-coding RNA from Lutra lutra (Eurasian river otter), 2923 nucleotides. RefSeq lists it as uncharacterized. The transcript is spliced from 2 exons. Lineage: Eukaryota; Metazoa; Chordata; Mammalia; Carnivora; Mustelidae. The record is from RefSeq and is a predicted model, not a curated record.
CCUUGAGCCCAGUAGCUCCCGGUGGUGGUGAGUUAAUGCCCCAUACAACUCUUCCGCAUGAUAACUUCAUCAGAUAUCUUCAGAGAGGAUUGUCAUAGGACUCCAAAAAAGUGCAAGUGAAUUUCUCAUCACUUCUUUGGUUGCUUGUGCUGAAAAUUUCAGAGCACCCUUCCGGACCCUUCCUGGGGCCUGUGUAUCUCAGCUCAAGGAGACUGGGCUAGGGAAAAGCAGGGAAAGGGUCUACCUGAAGCUCGACAUAAUUUUCACUCCCGGAUGGUUCCCCUCUAGCAUAGAAUUCCCAAGGAACUGUUUACAAUACAUCAGUGAGCAGUUCCUUUUCUCAUUGAUUUCAUCAUCUUAAGCUCUGGCUUAAUGCCAGGCCUGUGUAUCAGCAAGACAAUCACAUACACAUGGGCAAUAUCUAGUGCCAAGGAGGCUUGGAAUGAUCAAACCAGCCCUGGGAAUCCAAAAAGCUAGUAUCAAAGAGGUAACUUUUGGUACCCUCACAGGUCUUGGAUUUAACAGGGAAUGUCAUCCAAAAGAGAGAAAAAGAACAACAAUACAAUGAUAGUGAAUUGCAACUGCCUGAAGGAACAGAGCAAACGCUGAAUAGUGCCGUGUGGCGACAGGGGGUGAGGCUUUGCUGGUGUGGGUUCCGGAACUGUUUUCCUCGGAGAUGCAUUUAUGUGGACGCAACCAAAAAUACCUUUCUGAGCACUGGGGAAAGAUGGCAUAUUCCAAGGGAGAACAUGUUUUUCUUCCAUCCAGAUCAAAAUGUAUUUUAACUGACUCUCAGGAAGCCAUCUGUAUGCCUUUAUAAGUCCAGAAUUUGACUGUAGAGAAUUUUGCUUAAAGUCAGUGAGCAAAACCUAGGAGUAGGGUAUGGAAAUCUCUGUCCACAGAAGUCUGUUGCAUCAGGAUGUGACAGGUGAUCACACAGAGGUGGGACAACCUGACUUGUGGCCUUGACAGUUAGUCAGCCAUAUCUUGAUGUGGAGCUGGGGGUGAAGAAGGAUGGGGGGCAUUUUUAGGAGUUUACAAAGCCUGAUUUUUCCGGGCAUUGGGAAGGCACCAAUGUAAGAUACCUCCGUGAAUGGAGAGAAUUCUGUUCACGUGUAAAGAAAGUGAGAUUUAAUUUUUGACUGAAUGGAAAAAUCAGGCACGUAUUUAUUGGGGACUCCUAGAAGAUGAACAGAAGACAAUGCCCAGGGCGCUGGCAAGAACUUUUAAGGAAACAAGAAAGAGCACCACCUCAACUUCAACAUGCUGAGACAAGAGGAGGAAGCCAAGAAUGUUGACUUUCAAGUGAAACCAAGCCAGAAAACUUCAGAAAUAUGAAUUAAAUAAACAUUGGAAGGAAGAGAGCAAACUUUUUCUAAUCAUUUCAAAGCUAGUUAUGAAGUUGCUUUUGGGGAACAUAGAGGACUACUUUUUCUCAAAGUGAACUUUCCAGCGAACGGUCGUAAGCAGGCAGUACGAAGGCCCAGGAUGUCCAGAAUGGCUCACAGAGGGAAGGGUUUUGCUGCAUUUUGUUUAGGCAGUGAAUCCUUCAGCUGUCCACUUUCCUCUCUAUAAUCGACUCUGCUCCGCUCUGCACUUGCCAGACAGACACAUCAGUUCUGAUGGCAUGUGCCCUGCUCUGUAUGCAAAAGAUAUCCAUGAGUAUUAACUAAGUUUGCAAGAGGAAUUAAGAUCCAUAAUAAAUGCUUUAGCAAAGAGGCUUUGGGGAAUAAAAAUGUGACUUCAGGCAAAAUUCUCAUAAACCAGACAUCAUCUUUGAUUUACAGUUUAUAGUAUUUUCCUCACUGUAUCCAAUAUCCCCAGCUUGAGGGCUCUUGCUCCAUGGGGCAUGAUUGACUGCCCAAGGUGGGAAGAUAGUUCUGGGCGCUGAAGUUAAGUCAAUGGAAUUAGAAAUGGGAAAAAACACAAAAGAAGCAGAAUUUCAGAUUUUUGUUUGUUUGGGUUUGGGGUUUGUUUGUUUGUUUGUUUGCAUUUUUAGUAGUUAGGAUAAAAGUCUUUGUCUACGAAGCACGAAAAUAUUUUAAGAAGUUGGCUGCUCUUUUAGAAAAGGUGAUUUCCUACUUUCUCUGUGAUACUAGGCACAAGAUGGUGACCAUAAUUGGGGAAGUGCGCCAUCAUAUUUUGUACCGUGUACAUCAGAGAUUCAUUUACCUAGACCAUUCAAACAUGGAAAAGAGACUCCUUGAGUCCAGAUGGAGGGUGGAUCUUUCAUUUCCCUCAACUCUCUAUCAGAUUUUAAGAAUAAACAAAAAAGGAGAGGAAAUGACAUAUGAUAAACAAGUUGAAUUUACCAUCAUUUCUGUACAAGGCACUGUACUGGGCACAUUGGCAGGUUGUGCGAACCUAGUAAUUUAAUGACAUAGAUUGGAAAUCAGACCAAUUUCUUAUAAAUGUACAAAGGGAGCUAAUAAUCAUUAACUAAUAAGACAUGGAGAUGACAUAAAGGAAUCAUAAAUAUUUGAAAGAAAAUUUUAUUUUUUUUGAGCCAUAUGUAUAUAUUCAGCAUAUAAGACCAUCAGAAAAAUAAACUUAAAGACACAAGAACAUUCUUCUACAGAACCACACCCAUAAAAUGGAUAGGAAAAUAGUUGGUAUACAUACUUAGGGCUAUCACUUUGGUAAAUGAAUGCAUGAGUACUCAUGAUUUAUGAGCUCCUUAGCAUUUUUUUACUUGGAGAGAUGGUCAAAAGCACCUCUGAACAUAUUUCACACUAAUCAUUUUAAUGUUAUUGUUAUUAAGCAAUUUAUAAGCUAAUAUAUAGUUUGAGAAUAGGUCUGAAAAUAAUGAUCUUGUCUCUCUUUUCCACACCUCAAAAGUUAUUUAUAAUUGGCUAAGGCCAUGGGAAAACACGUGAUUAUUUCCAACAAGAUGUUCUUGAGUCUGUAGGAUAUAAGCAGUAUG